CUAACAAGGAUUCCCCUAGUAACGGCGAGUGAAGCGGGAAGAGCUCAAAUUUGUAAUCUGGCGGCCUCGCGGUCGUCCGAGUUGUAGUCUGGAGAAGYGUUUUCCGCGUCGGACCGUGUACAAGUCCUUUGGAACAGGGCGUCGUAGAGGGUGAGAAUCCCGUCUUUGACGCGGACUGCCGAUGCUUUGUGAUGCGCUCUCGAAGAGUCGAGUUGUUUGGGAAUGCAGCUCAAAUCGGGUGGUAAAUUCCAUCUAAAGCUAAAUAUUGGCAAAAGACCGAUAGCGAACAAGUACCGUGAGGGAAAGAUGAAAAGCACUUUGGAAAGAGAGUCAAAUAGUACGUGAAAUUGUCGAAAGGGAAACGCUUCAAGUCAGUCGCGUCUCUCGGGACUCAGCCGGGUGGUAUUUUUGUAUCGCCUGGUGUAUUUCCCGGGGUUUGACGGGCCAGCAUCGAUUUCGAUCGUCGGAGAAAGGCCUUGGGAACGUGGCACCUUCGGGUGUGUUAUAGCCCUCGGUCGCAUGCGCCGGUCGGGAUCGAGGAUCGCAGCACGCCCCCCGAUUUAAAGGGGGGCCGGGGUUCGCCCACGUAACGUGCUUAGGAUGCUGGCGUAAUGGCUUCAAGCGACCCGUCUUGA
Molecule: ribosomal RNA, 635 nt
Filed under: Ramaria thiersii
Lineage: Eukaryota; Fungi; Basidiomycota; Agaricomycetes; Gomphales; Gomphaceae
Description: eukaryotic LSU rRNA
Rfam family: Eukaryotic large subunit ribosomal RNA
Source: RNAcentral